RNAcentral lists this ribosomal RNA (1365 nucleotides) under uncultured bacterium. RNAcentral's name for it is "bacterial SSU rRNA". It matches the Rfam family "Bacterial small subunit ribosomal RNA", at positions 28 to 1381 of the family's 1533-position model. The record is from RNAcentral.
AUUGAACGCUUUUGGCAGGCCUAACACAUGCAAGUCGAGCGGUAGCACGGGAGAGCUUGCUCUCUGGGUGACGAGCGGCGGACGGGUGAGUAAUGUCUGGGAAACUGCCUGAUGGAGGGGGAUAACUACUGGAAACGGUAGCUAAUACCGCAUGACCUCGCAAGAGCAAAGUGGGGGACCUUCGGGCCUCACGCCAUCGGAUGUGCCCAGAUGGGAUUAGCUAGUAGGUGGGGUAAUGGCUCACCUAGGCGACGAUCCCUAGCUGGUCUGAGAGGAUGACCAGCCACACUGGAACUGAGACACGGUCCAGACUCCUACGGGAGGCAGCAGUGGGGAAUAUUGCACAAUGGGCGCAAGCCUGAUGCAGCCAUGCCGCGUGUGUGAAGAAGGCCUUAGGGUUGUAAAGCACUUUCAGCGAGGAGGAAGGGUUCAGUGUUAAUAGCACUGUGCAUUGACGUUACUCGCAGAAGAAGCACCGGCUAACUCCGUGCCAGCAUCUGCGGGUAAUACGGAGGGUGCAAGCGUUAAUCGGAAUUACUGGGCGUAAAGCGCACGCAGGCGGUUUGUUAAGUCAGAUGUGAAAUCCCCGAGCUUAACUUGGGAACUGCAUUUGAAACUGGCAAGCUAGAGUCUUGUAGAGGGGGGUAGAAUUCCAGGUGUAGCGGUGAAAUGCGUAGAGAUCUGGAGGAAUACCGGUGGCGAAGGCGGCCCCCUGGACAAAGACUGACGCUCAGGUGCGAAAGCGUGGGGAGCAAACAGGAUUAGAUACCCUGGUAGUCCACGCUGUAAACGAUGUCGACUUGGAGGUUGUGCCCUUGAGGCGUGGCUUCCGGAGCUAACGCGUUAAGUCGACCGCCUGGGGAGUACGGCCGCAAGGUUAAAACUCAAAUGAAUUGACGGGGGCCCGCACAAGCGGUGGAGCAUGUGGUUUAAUUCGAUGCAACGCGAAGAACCUUACCUACUCUUGACAUCCAGAGAAUUCGCUAGAGAUAGCUUAGUGCCUUCGGGAACUCUGAGACAGGUGCUGCAUGGCUGUCGUCAGCUCGUGUUGUGAAAUGUUGGGUUAAGUCCCGCAACGAGCGCAACCCUUAUCCUUUGUUGCCAGCACGUAAUGGUGGGAACUCAAAGGAGACUGCCGGUGAUAAACCGGAGGAAGGUGGGGAUGACGUCAAGUCAUCAUGGCCCUUACGAGUAGGGCUACACACGUGCUACAAUGGCAUAUACAAAGAGAAGCAAACUCGCGAGAGCAAGCGGACCUCAUAAAGUAUGUCGUAGUCCGGAUUGGAGUCUGCAACUCGACUCCAUGAAGUCGGAAUCGCUAGUAAUCGUAGAUCAGAAUGCUACGGUGAAUACGUUCCCGGGCCU